Molecule: long non-coding RNA, 4850 nt
Filed under: Panax ginseng (ginseng)
Lineage: Eukaryota; Viridiplantae; Streptophyta; Magnoliopsida; Apiales; Araliaceae
Description: long non-coding RNA (PGIN_LNC012895)
Source: RNAcentral
AAAUACACAAUCCACAGUCCAUCGCCAAUUUCUUUGAUCUGCAAGUCGAAAUUCACCAUCUCUUGUGAGGUUUGUUAUGGGUUCAUGGACAAUGGCCGGUGUUGGUCCCAUGCUGAACAGGUCUUGCUUUGGUCUGUGGUGGUGUUGGAUCGAUUGGAUUGUAAUCGUUAUUGUUCUAUUUUUUUGCAUAUUGGGUCAUGCUCUAAUUUAUAUAUCAGAUUUGAUUGUUAUUGCUUAGAAACUGAUUUAUUGAUUUUGAGUUUUAAAUCUUCACUAUCUAGAUUCGCCGACAUCUAUAGUGCAAUUUUGGAUCUAAGCAGGUAAGAGUUUGAAGAUUUAUUUUUUCCCCAUAACUGAUUAUGUGGACGGAAGUCAUGGUGGUUUUCCCUGCUGAUUUCUUACGUGUUUAUUACCCUAUCCCCUCUAUUAAAUCAGUUAUGGGUGUUUUUGUUAGAUUUGUUUACCUUAGUUCAAAUGGCUUUAACUGUGUUUUUCGGCAUCUUUGCUGGUUUUAUCAUCGGAAAUUUCUCUUUUUUGGAUUUAGUUAUACAUUGAUAUAUGCUAUUCAUGGGUGGUGUGUUUGGUUGAAAUCAUCCAGUGACUAGAAGCCGCUUGAUCCCAUUCUUGAUGGUGGUGGUUCACGGCGGCGCCGAUGGAAUUGGGUGGUGAGAUUUAUAGGAUUUUUCAAGGAGAGGAGGGUAGAAAGAUGAAACUUAGAAAAAAAAGAACAUAAUUAUUUGCGAUGAUUUAGAAAUUAAGGAGUGGAUUUUUAACAAGUUUUGAUUAAAUAGUUCACAAGGUAAAAAUGAUAAAAUACUGUUAUUUAGACAUUUUGGAAAAAUUAAUUAUCAAACAACAUUUAUUCAUUCAGUUACAAUUUUAAACAAACCCUCUACAUUAUUUAGAUGUCUAAACUAUCCAAAUCUUAACACUUAAUUUUAUCAAACACCACCUUAGUCUCCGACUCUCUGGCCUUCGCCUCUCAAUCUCUUACGGUCUCACCGUACCCUUGGUUCGGCCUUCGCAAAUCGCAUCCCCGCGUCUCGGUGGGUAUUUGGCAGUUCUCUUGCAAACUAUUUGGUACUAAAAAAUUUAACCUCUGUUUUUUUGUCUCUAGCUUCGAUUUAGUACUAAUAUAUUUAUGUUGAUCUUGAUUACAUGUUUAAUUAUUAGACUAUGACUAGUUUUUUCAAGUUUUCUAUUGUUUAUGGACAUAUAAAGCUAAAAGCGUAAUAUAUUUGUGUUUCCUUCCUGAAAAAUCAAUUUAGAUGGUGGUAACAUGAUAACAUCUAUCACCUGAAACUAUAACUUUGAUUCCUUGAAUUCAAACUUUCCUUUGUCAAUAUGUGAAUUUGUUUAUCAAGAUGACCCAAGUACCCAAUUGUCCUGCUAUGGGAUAUUUUAACAAUUAGACUUAUAUAAGUGUUUACUUGUGUGAUAUUAUAGCUUUUAAUGUUAAGAUUUCAGUAAAUCAAUUUGGGGUGUUUGGUUAUAUUUCCAUAAAUGUUCAGAAAAGUCUUAGCUUCCCCCUAAUGCGGAAUUAAAGAGACAAAUUUGGAACUACAUUUGCAAGAAUCUGUACAAUUUAAUACAGAAGAAUCUUAGAAAAGGUCUUAGAUUGUGAUGAACUGCAACAUAAGAUCUCAUUAUAAUUGGCCUCAGAUUCUUUCCGGCUAUUCUAGUCAUUAUCCAGUAAGAGCUAUUAUAGUCAAUGUUAUCUUAUAUAAAGCAGUUUGGGAAUGUCAUAUUCAUUAUCAAUAUAUACAUAUUAGGGGCUAAGUAUAUUUAUCAUUCUUUUUAUAAUUUGUAUUUUUAUUUUACUUUUUGUAUUUACACUUACUGGCUGCUGUAUUGUGCAUGUAAUGGGUGACUAUAGGAACUAAAAAUUCUGGUUGGAGUGCUCUUUUCUAUUUGGUGGUUUUUGGGCAGCUCAGUUUGGAGUGGUCAUGUAUCAAUCUUUGGGAGGUUUUUAUAUGAUUUACUCGGCUUUUGUUUUUUUUUUGUUACUCUUUUUCCUUCUUUUUUUCCCUCAUAAGCUACUGAAAACUAAUACAGCUGUGGGAUGUUUUGUUUGUGUAUCAUGAUGGUUUAUAUUUAGUUUCUUGUGUAAGUUAUAGCCUUUAUUUAAUUUUAUUGGUUGUAUUACCUGGGGUAUGUAGUAUGCUCAUUGUGAACUUACUGGGAUAUCUAAGAUGAUACAUACACUGACUCAAUGGAUAAAUGAUUUAUUUAUGCAGUUAGUAGGAUAUCUCUUGUUCGCUUAUGUUGCAUGUUGUUGUUGUUGUUGCUCGUUGAUGUUGUUGUUCAUGUUGCUGUUACAAUGAUCUUUCAUUUUGUUUGUUCAUGUUGUUGUUGCAUUGCUGGCUGCUAGCUACUGAAAAGCCUACAAUUUCCUACUCAUGUUCAUGUUGCUGUUAGUUGUUGUUGCAUAUUGGAUGUUGCUAGAUUAUACAAUAAAACCUCUAUUUAGGAAUAGGCUUGGGAUCAAACUAUUUGUAUUCUAAUUGAGAGGUUAUUACUAAAUAGAGGUAUUGGUACAAAAUAAUUUUUGAACACCCAAAAAUAUACACUUUAACAAAAAUAUCAAUAAAAACUCCCUAAUAAAAAGUAAAUGUAGGGUUUUUGGAAAAAAAUUAAAGAAAACAUAAAUUAUUUAGAUUUUCAAAUUAGAAAAAUGUAGUCUUUUAUAGAAAAUGUAGUCUUUUAUAGAAAAAUGUGGUCUUUUAUAGGAAAUAUAGUAUUUUAUAGGAAAAUGUAGUCCUUUAUAGGAAAUGUAGUCUUUUAUAAGAAAAUGUAGUCUUUUAUAGAAAAUGUAGUCUUUUAUAAAAAAUGUAGUCUUUUAAAAUUAAUAUUAAAAUUAAUAUUGUCUCUCUCUCGCUCAUAUAUAUAUAUAUAUAUAUAUAGGGAGAGAGAGUGUGAGACCCCAAAUUUUAUGAAUAAAUAUUUAAAUUUCUCGAAAUAUUUUUUUCAAAAUUAUGGUGUGAAUUUGAGAUAAUGUUAUAGUUGUGAGUAAUAUUUAUAAAUUUUGAAAAGUAUGCAAGUUGUUGUAUAAUAUUCGAUUGGUUGGGAAAUAUUCUUUUUGUCAGGAAAUAUAUGUACAACAGUACAAUCAUUGGUGGACCCCACAGCGGAAUUAUUGUUGGAUUGAGAAAACGAUAAAAAUAUUUUUAUAAAAAUAACGGCGAAAGUGUUACCGUUAAAACUGUUGAACUACCCGGUAGUAAAAGUACAGUAAUACGCGUGGUUGCAUAGUAGCCCAUGGUAUUGAUUAUUGAUGCUUACGUAAGAAGUCACUCAGUUAUACUCAAGUAUUGCAACAGUAAUUGUUGCAUAUUAUCUCACAUUAUUUGAUUUAAUUAUUGUCGAUAUUUUAUAUAUUAUUAAAUCAAUAAUUGAGAUAACAAAGUUAAUAUUAUUAUUUGUAAUAUUAACGAUGUCUAAAAGUUCUGUCAAUGAGAGGUUUGGUCACUUAAUUGCACGUCAAUAGGGAGAAAUUCUUAUUGGAAAGUCCACUCUUUCCUGGGAACGAUUUGGUCGAUUAAUAUUGUGAAUUAUAAUAAAGGUGAUAAGUUUUAUUUUAUUAUUAUUAUAAAUGUAAUAAAAUAGAAAUUUUUUAUAUAAAACAGAAUACUUUUAUAAAAUUAUUCAUUUUAUUAGACUAUAAAUAGAAUAUAUAAUAUUUUAUUAUGCAUAGUAUUUGCAUAGUGCCUGCAUAGUAUUUGUAUAGUAAAUUUUUUUUACAUAAAACAAAAUACUUUUAUAAAGUUAUUCGUUUUAUUAGAUUAUAAAUAGAAUAUAUUAUAUUUUAUUUAAAAUAUUUUAUUUUAAUAGAAUAUUUUAUUAAUACUGCAUAGUAAAUUAAUAUGGACCGUCCGUUUAAAAGUAAAUCAAUCUGGACCGUUUAUGAAUUAGUUAUUAUUCAGUUCAUUUUCCUAUAAAUAGAAGCUCAUUCCUUCAUUAUUUCUUACGAAUUCACUGAAACUCUAGAGAGAGAAACUAUAGAGAGAAAGAAGAAAAGUAUUCUACUACUUCACUACUCCUAUAUCCAGUUUCUUCUAAGGUAAGGGGUAUUAUUUCUUUCGUAUUCAUGAAGAGAAUUAUUUUCUUUCAAUACUCGUAAGGGGUAUUAUUUCUUUUGUAUUCAUGAAGAGAACUUCUGUUAUUCCAUUCUUUAUUAUUCUGUUGGAAUAAUCUGUAUACGUGGACUACCCUAUAUUUGGUAAAAUUCUUCUGUUAUUCCAUUCUUUAUUAUUAUGUUGGAAUAACCUGUCUAUGCGAAGUACCGCAUAUAUGGUGAAAAUCUUUUUUUAUUUCAUUCUUUAUUAUUCUGUUGGAACAUCCUGUCUGUGAGUUUACGCAUGACCUGAUUCCAUUAUUUAUUAUUCUAUUGGAAUAUCCUGUCUGUGCGUUUACGCAUGACCUGGUUCCGUUAUUUAUUAUUCUGUUGGAAUAUCAUGUCUGUGCUUUACGCAUAACCUAGUUCUAUUAUUUAUCAUUCUGUUGGAACAUCCUAUCCGUGCUUUACGCAUGACCUGGUUCCAUUAUUUAUCAUUUUAUUGGAACAUCGUGUACGUGUUUUAUCAGUUUAACACUGAUAAAGGCUAAAGAUAAAUUAUUCUGCAUUAUUUUAAUCAUAAUAUUUCUUAUUGGGCUAGUUGAGCUCACCCUUUUGCUUUCAUUGUUCUCUUCAGGAAAUGAGAACGUAGCAGGGACUAGUCGGGAAACAGAGUGACGGUUCAAAUGAUAACAUUAGUAAUCCUCACUAUUCUAUGAAAUAUUGUGUUAAUAAAUGUAUUGAGGACUUAUUUUGAGUUUGAAUACUGUCUAAAAGGCAAUAUUUUUAUUAAAAC